CCUCGCACACACACUGUACGGGACCCCGCUGCAGGUGCGCACACCGCCCUCACACACACACGCACACCCACACACACGCUGUACGGGACCCUGCUGCAGGUGCGCACACUGCCCUCACACACACACGCACACCCACACACACGCUGUACGGGACCCUGCUGCAGGUGCGCACACUGCCCUCUCACACACCCACACGCAUGCUGUACGGGACCCUGCUGCAGGUGUGCACACCACCCUUACAUACAUGCUGUACGGGACCCUGCUGCAGGUGUGCACACCACCCUCACACACACGCUGUACGGGACCCUGCUGCAGGUGUGCACACGGCCCUCACACACACAUGUACACCCACACACACACUGUAUGGGACCCUGCUGCAGGUGUGCACACCGCCCUCACACACGC
Molecule: long non-coding RNA, 405 nt
Organism: Gopherus flavomarginatus (Mexican gopher tortoise)
Lineage: Eukaryota; Metazoa; Chordata; Testudines; Testudinidae
Exons: 3
Source: RefSeq, a predicted model, not a curated record